This 253-nucleotide ribosomal RNA is filed under the name uncultured bacterium. RNAcentral describes it as "partial 16S ribosomal RNA". It matches the Rfam family "Bacterial small subunit ribosomal RNA", at positions 524 to 776 of the family's 1533-position model. The record is from RNAcentral.
UACGUAGGUUGCAAGCGUUAUCCGGAUUUACUGGGCGUAAAGGGAGCGCAGGCGGCGCGCCAAGUCUGAUGUGAAACCCCGGGGCUCAACCGCGGGCAUGCAUUGGAAACUGGCGGGCUGGAGUGCCGGAGAGGUAAGCGGAAUUCCUAGUGUAGCGGUGAAAUGCGUAGAUAUUAGGAGGAACACCAGUGGCGAAGGCGGCUUACUGGACGGCAACUGACGCUGAGGCUCGAAAGCGUGGGGAGCAAACAGG